Molecule: ribosomal RNA, 537 nt
Filed under: uncultured bacterium
Lineage: Bacteria
Description: partial 16S ribosomal RNA
Rfam family: Bacterial small subunit ribosomal RNA
Source: RNAcentral
UGGGGAAUAUUGCACAAUGGGCGCAAGCCUGAUGCAGCAACGCCGCGUGAGGGACGACGGCCUUCGGGUUGUAAACCUCUUUUAGUAGGGAAGAAGCGAAAGUGACGGUACCUGCAGAAAAAGCACCGGCUAACUACGUGCCAGCAGCCGCGGUAAUACGUAGGGUGCGAGCGUUGUCCGGAAUUAUUGGGCGUAAAGAGCUCGUAGGCGGUCUGUCGCGUCUGCUGUGAAAACCCGAGGCUCAACCUCGGGCCUGCAGUGGGUACGGGCAGACUAGAGUGCGGUAGGGGAGAAUGGAAUUCCUGGUGUAGCGGUGGAAUGCGCAGGUAUCAGGAGGAACACCGAUGGCGAAGGCAGUUCUCUGGGCCGUAACUGACGCUGGGGGGUCGAAAGCGUGGGGAGCGAACAGGAUUAGAUACCCUGGUAGUCCACGCCGUAAACGUUGGGCGCUAGAUGUGGGGACCAUUCCACGGUUUCCGUGUCGCAGCUAACGCAUUAAGCGCCCCGCCUGGGGAGUACGGCCGCAAGGCUAAAACU